RNAcentral lists this non-coding RNA (1609 nucleotides) under Cryptosporidium parvum. The record is from RNAcentral. Lineage: Eukaryota; Apicomplexa; Conoidasida; Eucoccidiorida; Cryptosporidiidae.
AAAUAGGAGAAAAUAUAUAAAGGAAAAUAAAAAAUUAUAUUAUUUCAAUAUCAUUAGGAUUUAAGAAGAAUCUCCUCUAGUUUUUGUCCAUUUAGUAUAAAUAUAGACGAGUAGUUUGAGAAUCAAUAGGAAAAGUAAGAGGUGGCCUAAUUUGAGAAUGAGGAAGAAAUUCCCAUUGGCCUUUAGGUCCUGAUAUGAAAUCUUAUUUAAAGAAUUAAUAGUUUUAUUAAGACUUCUAUGGAUUUGCGUAAAAUAGAUAAGAAGAUCUCCAAUACCAUUGCUUAUUCUAUUGAUACUCCCAGUUUCAACCAUCUUUUUAUAAUACUUUUCUGCAAAAUGAAGAUCUUGCACAAUUCCUAUUCCGAAUUGAGCCAUAAAUGCUAAAUUAAAGGAGGCUUCUGAAAUAGGAGAAAUCAUCCAUCUAGAAGUUAUUAUGCUAUUUGAGACAAUCUUAUAAAGAUCGAAUGCUGCCAAAUAAUUUGGAGAUUCCAUAGAAACAAUUUCGAGCUCUAAAGGUCUAAUCCAGCUAGAAUUAGAAGAAUUCUCUAAAAGCUUUGGAGAAAGUUUAUAUCUAAGUUCGACUCCUUUUCCAUAGUAUGAGUAAUCUCCAUAUCUUAUAAUUGAAUCAACAUUCUCAUUAUAUAUUGAAAAUUCUAAAAACAUUUGUGGUAAAUACCAUUUAUUAAUAUUUUCGAUACCUUUUUCAUUAUUUUCGUUACCUAUAUUAUAAGUAUCUAAAUUAAUAUUUUCAAGAUCAGGAAAAAACUUUAAAAGGAUUUUUGGGAUAACUUUGGCUGAUAAUAACUUAAACCAGUACUCAACUCUAUUUGGCUUAAAUGAAAAAUCUGGAAGAGGGAUUCCAAUUAUGGACGAUACCCAUUCAAGAUGUUUAUUAUUUCUAAGAUCUUGAUCUAAUAAAGAGGCUAAGUUAGAUAUAGAUGGUGCAUAUCCUGUAAUUGCAAGUUUCAUUGUACUGAGAAUCAUUUGAUUCUUUUCAUCUUUACUUUUGGAUCUUGAAAAUUUAUUGGUAAUUGAAAUCAAAUUAUUUGUCCAAUUUGAUCUUUGUAUAAUUUCUCUAAGAAAUCCCAAAGCUGUAUUACAAUCUCUAUUUAUACCAAGCCCAUUCAAAUUUAACUGUGAAAGUGCAUAUGCAGAUGGAAGAUGUCCCUGCUCAUAAGCUCUUGUAUACCAAGAAAUUGCAUCUGAAUAUGAUUGAGGGGUACCCAUACCGGUAAGAUAAAGAGACGCUAAAUUAUAUUGUGCAUCAGCAAAUAAAUGAAAAGCACUUUCAUUAAAGUGGUGAAAAGCUAAUCUAAAAUUUCUCUCAAAUCCUUCACAUCCAUGAAAAUAAACAUAUCCCAUACCAUUAUGGCCUCCUGGAUCGUUAUAUAUAAAGGCUGAAAUUGAAAAAUAUUCAGAUGCAGUUUUUAGAUCUGGAGAGGUACCGAUACCUAAUGCAUGCAUGUAACCAAGUAACCCAAUAGCUUCGCCAUAAAUAAGUGUAGAAGGAAUAUCUAAUACAACUCCAACCAUUGAUUUAGCUUUAUCAGCAAUUUUUCUUAGAUAUUUAUAAGCUUUAGUAGCGUCUUGUUUAAAUCCAUCUACUCCU